Molecule: long non-coding RNA, 691 nt
Organism: Xiphophorus hellerii (green swordtail)
Lineage: Eukaryota; Metazoa; Chordata; Actinopteri; Cyprinodontiformes; Poeciliidae
Exons: 2
Source: RefSeq, a predicted model, not a curated record
UUUCAGGCAGCAGAAAAACAGAAGAUCCAGGUUAUAUUAGUGGAACAUGUGAAGUUUGAAGACAAGGAUUGUAAAAAAGGAGGAUCCGGGGUGGAGUGAGGAUGUCUGACAUGAUGAAGGUUGAAGCAGUUCAUCGGAUGUUUAUGAUUAAAGAGGUUCCCCAUGAUUGGAGUCCUAGUUUGGACAGUGAGAAUCCAGAAGCCCACAUGAAGGAGGAAGAGGAGAGACUGUGGAUCAGUCAGGAAGAAGAGUUGCUUACUGUGAAGAUUAAAGAUGGAGAGAAACCUCAUUUAUCAGAGCUUUAUCAAAUCCAAACUGAAGACCAUCUAGAGACAGAAGUUCCAACCAGCAGUUCACCUGAACCUGUUGCAGAGAACUUUAGAAGGCCAGAACCAGACGGGGACCCAGAGCCUGUAUGUCCCUCCCAGCAAAGUAACAUGGCAGAUGGGGAGAAAUCAUUUGGUUGCAAUUUGUGCGAUAAAAGUUUCAGACGUAAGCAUUUUGUUAAAUUACACAUGAUGACUCACACAGGAAAGAGAGAGCAUAGUUGUGAUCUUUGUGGUAAAGGAUUUGUAGAAAAGUGUUCUCUUCAGACACAAUGUCCACCCCGGAGAGAAACCUUUUGCCUGUGAUGUUUGCUGUAGAAGUUUUCAUGGAAAGACAAGUCUUACUACUCACAAGAAGGUCCACU